GACAUGUACCAAGAAAUAUCUUCAGGUGUGGAGAUAAGGGACGGUUUAUCUACUCCCUCUUUUCCUUUCAUUCUUUGGAAUGGAAUGACUCUUCUAAAGAACACACUGUAGGAAGUCUGAAUAUAUCCAACCUCUUGCCUCAACCAGAAACGAAACUUACAAUGUGAAAGAUGAUGACCACCCUUUAUAAAACAUCCUCAGCCCUUGUCCAGCCUUGUGUGGCAUGAGAUUGGAGAAGACCUUCAAGCACUGUCACUCCUUCAAAGAGUGGAUGUCCCACUUAUCUGACAGCAGCAACCUACCAAAAUCCCAGUGACAAAAGAAUGACACAGGGGUGAAAAGCAGCUUCCUGUCCUGGAAAACCAAGUAAUUUUGUACCUGAUCAGGUCAACAUGAGUAAACUCGUCAAGAUAAUUAGAAGGCCCUUAAAGCUCGAUGGUAAUCAAGCCCUCUUCCUAGUGGUGAGCAGAGACAGCUUGCACUACUUCCUGAAUAGUCCAACUGAAUUAUAUUGGGUAACUUUCAUUCACCAGGUAUCCAGUUUUGAAUGCGAUCACAACAAAAGAUCUCUCUCUGAACUGUAUAGAUUGUGCUAUAUGUUACCACACUUUUGUUUAUACAUUUAAUUUAGUGAUUACAUUAAAAACUGAGUUAGUAUAAA
Pongo pygmaeus (Bornean orangutan) is the source of this 661-nucleotide long non-coding RNA. RefSeq lists it as uncharacterized. The record is from RefSeq and is a predicted model, not a curated record. The transcript is spliced from 4 exons. Lineage: Eukaryota; Metazoa; Chordata; Mammalia; Primates; Hominidae.